This 253-nucleotide ribosomal RNA is filed under the name uncultured bacterium. Its description in RNAcentral is "partial 16S ribosomal RNA". It matches the Rfam family "Bacterial small subunit ribosomal RNA", at positions 524 to 776 of the family's 1533-position model. The record is from RNAcentral.
UACGGGGGGGGCAAGCGUUGUUCGGAAUUACUGGGCGUAAAGGGCUCGUAGGCGGCCAACUAAGUCCGACGUGAAAUCCCCGAGCUCAACUCGGGAACUGCGUCCGAUACUGGCGGGCUUGAAUCCGGGAGAGGGAUGCGGAAUUCCAGGUGUAGCGGUGAGAUGCGUAGAUAUCUGGAGGAACACCGGUGGCGAAGGCGGCAUCCUGGACCGGCAUUGACGCUGAGGCGCGAAAGCUAGGGGAGCAAACGGG